Molecule: ribosomal RNA, 716 nt
Filed under: Streptococcus parauberis
Lineage: Bacteria; Bacillati; Bacillota; Bacilli; Lactobacillales; Streptococcaceae
Description: bacterial SSU rRNA
Rfam family: Bacterial small subunit ribosomal RNA
Source: RNAcentral
UCAUGGCUCAGGACGAACGCUGGCGGCGUGCCUAAUACAUGCAAGUAGAACGCUGAAGACUGGUGCUUGCACUAGUCAGAUGAGUUGCGAACGGGUGAGUAACGCGUAGGUAACCUACCUCAUAGCGGGGGAUAACUAUUGGAAACGAUAGCUAAUACCGCAUGACAAUUAAGUACUCAUGUACUAAAUUUAAAAGGAGCAAUUGCUUCACUAUGAGAUGGACCUGCGUUGUAUUAGCUAGUUGGUGAGGUAACGGCUCACCAAGGCCACGAUACAUAGCCGACCUGAGAGGGUGAUCGGCCACACUGGGACUGAGACACGGCCCAGACUCCUACGGGAGGCAGCAGUAGGGAAUCUUCGGCAAUGGGGGCAACCCUGACCGAGCAACGCCGCGUGAGUGAAGAAGGUUUUCGGAUCGUAAAGCUCUGUUGUUAGAGAAGAACGGUAAUGGGAGUGGAAAAUCCAUUACGUGACGGUAACUAACCAGAAAGGGACGGCUAACUACGUGCCAGCAGCCGCGGUAAUACGUAGGUCUCGAGCGUUGUCCGGAUUUAUUGGGCGUAAAGCGAGCGCAGGCGGUUAUUUAAGUCUGAAGUUAAAGGCCGUGGCUCAACCAUGGUUCGCUUUGGAAACUGGAUAACUUGAGUGCAGAAGGGGAGAGUGGAAUUCCAUGUGUAGCGGUGAAAUGCGUAGRUAUAUGGAGGAACACCGGUGGC